CAGAGUGCAACAAAUGGUGGUUUAAAGGUACCAAGAUUGAGGUGGUCAAUUAGUACAGAUAUUUGGGUAUGGUAUUGACCAGCACAUUGUCCUGGAAUUCCCAUUUAACUCAGAAAGAAUUCAGAAGAUGAUGUCUUGCUUUUAUUAAAAACGUUAUUAAUAUAAUCCUUAUUAAUUAAUAAAAAAUACUGCAACUUUUCACGUUGUAAUAGCCAAACCAGCAGACGGUCCAUAGGCCAUUGAUGUAUUGUAUUUGUUUAUACUUGGUUCCGUGCUUGGCACCUGACUAUUCAAUUGUUUUGUUUUAAAUAAAACACGUUUUCUUCUU
Long non-coding RNA from Homalodisca vitripennis (glassy-winged sharpshooter), 328 nucleotides. RefSeq lists it as uncharacterized. The transcript is spliced from 2 exons. The record is from RefSeq and is a predicted model, not a curated record. NCBI's taxonomy places the organism in Eukaryota, Metazoa, Arthropoda, Insecta, Hemiptera, Cicadellidae.